AGAUUGUUCUCUCAGAAAAAGGGUGUUCCUUGUGCUUAAAAUUGCCAAGGCUUAUCAAUUCAACCAUAACAUGCACUCAUGCAGCACGGAAAGUCUUAGCCUUCUCUUGUAUUGUAAAUAAUUUCAAUAAUAUUGUGGUGUGCAUUUUGUGUUUGUAAUGAUUAAUGGAGUGAUGUGUGUUUAUAUUUAUGAUUUCAUUCGUGUUUCAUGUAUUAUCUAAUUUGUACAAUGUUUAAAUAACUUGAGUCAUGUGUGCGUUAUUGAUUGUUUGUCUCUGCUUCUUAGUUAUUGGAGUAACUCAAAUGAAACUCUUUGUUGUGCUUUAUCAUUUAAUUAA
This is a long non-coding RNA of Quercus robur (English oak), 337 nucleotides long. RefSeq lists it as uncharacterized. NCBI's taxonomy places the organism in Eukaryota, Viridiplantae, Streptophyta, Magnoliopsida, Fagales, Fagaceae. The record is from RefSeq and is a predicted model, not a curated record. The transcript has 2 exons.